UGGGGAAUAUUGGACAAUGGGGGAAACCCUGAUCCAGCAAUGCCGCGUGUGUGAAGAAGGCCUGCGGGUUGUAAAGCACUUUUAGUGGGAAAGAAAAGCUGAUAACGAAUACUUGUCAGUCUUGACGUUACUCAAAGAAAAAGCACCGGCUAACUCUGUGCCAGCAGCCGCGGUAAUACAGAGGGUGCAAGCGUUAAUCGGAAUUACUGGGCGUAAAGCGUGCGUAGGUGGUUAAGUCAGUCGGAUGUGAAAGCCCUGGGCUCAACCUGGGAACGGCAUUCGAUACUACUUGGCUAGAGUAUGGUAGAGGAAAGUGGAAUUCCACGUGUAGCGGUGAAAUGCGUAGAUAUGUGGAGGAACACCAGUGGCGAAGGCGGCUUUCUGGACCAAUACUGACACUCAGGCACGAAAGCGUGGGGAGCAAACAGG
RNAcentral lists this ribosomal RNA (429 nucleotides) under uncultured Gammaproteobacteria bacterium. RNAcentral describes it as "bacterial SSU rRNA". It matches the Rfam family "Bacterial small subunit ribosomal RNA", at positions 355 to 776 of the family's 1533-position model. Lineage: Bacteria; Pseudomonadati; Pseudomonadota; Gammaproteobacteria. The record is from RNAcentral.